UGCAGUCGAGCGGACAGAAGGGAGCUUGCUCCCGGAUGUUAGCGGCGGACGGGUGAGUAACACGUGGGUAACCUGCCUGUAAGACUGGGAUAACUCCGGGAAACCGGAGCUAAUACCGGAUAGUUCCUUGAACCGCAUGGUUCAAGGAUGAAAGACGGUUUCGGCUGUCACUUACAGAUGGACCCGCGGCGCAUUAGCUAGUUGGUGAGGUAACGGCUCACCAAGGCGACGAUGCGUAGCCGACCUGAGAGGGUGAUCGGCCACACUGGGACUGAGACACGGCCCAGACUCCUACGGGAGGCAGCAGUAGGGAAUCUUCCGCAAUGGACGAAAGUCUGACGGAGCAACGCCGCGUGAGUGAUGAAGGUUUUCGGAUCGUAAAGCUCUGUUGUUAGGGAAGAACAAGUGCAAGAGUAACUGCUUGCACCUUGACGGUACCUAACCAGAAAGCCACGGCUAACUACGUGCCAGCAGCCGCGGUAAUACGUAGGUGGCAAGCGUUGUCCGGAAUUAUUGGGCGUAAAGGGCUCGCAGGCGGUUUCUUAAGUCUGAUGUGAAAGCCCCCGGCUCAACCGGGGAGGGUCAUUGGAAACUGGGAAACUUGAGUGCAGAAGAGGAGAGUGGAAUUCCACGUGUAGCGGUGAAAUGCGUAGAGAUGUGGAGGAACACCAGUGGCGAAGGCGACUCUCUGGUCUGUAACUGACGCUGAGGAGCGAAAGCGUGGGGAGCGAACAGGAUUAGAUACCCUGGUAGUCCACGCCGUAAACGAUGAGUGCUAAGUGUUAGGGGGUUUCCGCCCCUUAGUGCUGCAGCUAACGCAUUAAGCACUCCGCCUGGGGAGUACGGUCGCAAGACUGAAACUCAAAGGAAUUGACGGGGGCCCGCACAAGCGGUGGAGCAUGUGGUUUAAUUCGAAGCAACGCGAAGAACCUUACCAGGUCUUGACAUCCUCUGACAACCCUAGAGAUAGGGCUUUCCCUUCGGGGACAGAGUGACAGGUGGUGCAUGGUUGUCGUCAGCUCGUGUCGUGAGAUGUUGGGUUAAGUCCCGCAACGAGCGCAACCCUUGAUCUUAGUUGCCAGCAUUCAGUUGGGCACUCUAAGGUGACUGCCGGUGACAAACCGGAGGAAGGUGGGGAUGACGUCAAAUCAUCAUGCCCCUUAUGACCUGGGCUACACACGUGCUACAAUGGACAGAACAAAGGGCUGCGAGACCGCAAGGUUUAGCCAAUCCCACAAAUCUGUUCUCAGUUCGGAUCGCAGUCUGCAACUCGACUGCGUGAAGCUGGAAUCGCUAGUAAUCGCGGAUCAGCA
RNAcentral lists this ribosomal RNA (1313 nucleotides) under Bacillus altitudinis. RNAcentral's name for it is "bacterial SSU rRNA". It matches the Rfam family "Bacterial small subunit ribosomal RNA", at positions 56 to 1354 of the family's 1533-position model. Lineage: Bacteria; Bacillati; Bacillota; Bacilli; Caryophanales; Bacillaceae. The record is from RNAcentral.